GCGAACGGUAGGUGGCGACAACGAACAAUGUUCUCGCAAGAGAAAUAGAGGGAGCAACGUUUGCGCGACAGAAAUGGAGCCAACGAAGAUGGAGACUACAUCAGGCACUUGCGCGAGAGAAAUGGAGGCCACAAACCAACAGCUUCGCUAGAGAGAGAGAAUGGUUACACGAGGAAGAAAAAGGAAUGUUAGGUUAAAAUUUCUUACAACGACGGCCAAUGGUGGAGGAAGCGGCGAAACCUAGUGAUGGAGGCAGCGGUGGCGACCAACGGCGGUAGCCAGUGGUGGAGGUAGAGGCAGUGGAGCGGCAAGGAAACACUGUUUGCGCGAGAUAGGAAGCUAUAAUUCGCGUUCGCUCUUUGUUGGAAGAAGAAGAAGAGUGAAAAUGUGCUUACUGUGUUAUGGUUCUAGAAUAUAACCAUCGAAGAGGCUAUUACCUCGGUUAUAAAUAAAACUGAUGCAUAAACCUUCCAGAAAAAAUUCAAAAUAAAAUUGUAAAUAAAAAAUUUGAAAAUAUCUACUAACUAUGGGCCUCAGUUCGCGGUUAAAC
This 550-nucleotide long non-coding RNA is filed under the name Vigna radiata. Its description in RNAcentral is "long non-coding RNA (VRAD_LNC013087)". The record is from RNAcentral. Lineage: Eukaryota; Viridiplantae; Streptophyta; Magnoliopsida; Fabales; Fabaceae.